CCUACGGGUGGCAGCAGUAGGGAAUUUUGCGCAAUGGGGGAAACCCUGACGCAGCAACGCCGCGUGAUCGAUGAAGCCCUUCGGGGUGUAAAGAUCUGUCAGUGGGGACGAAACCUGACGGUACCCACAGAGGAAGCACCGGCUAACUCCGUGGCAGCAGCCGCGGCAAUACGGGGGGUGCAAGCGUUGUCCGUAAACAUUGGGCGUAAAGAGUUUGUAGGUGGGACGUUAAGUCUGGUGUUAAAGGCGGAAGCUCAACUUCCGUAGGGCACUGGAUACUGGCGAGCUUGAAUGCGGUAGAGGAAAGGGGAAUUCCUGGUGUAGCGGUGAAAUGCGUAGAUAUCAGGAGGAACAUCGGUGGCGAAGGCGCUUUACUGGGCCGUAAUUGACGCUGAGGAACGAAAGCCGGGGUAGCAAAUAGGAUUAGAUACCCCUGUAGUC
Molecule: ribosomal RNA, 441 nt
Filed under: uncultured bacterium
Lineage: Bacteria
Description: partial 16S ribosomal RNA
Rfam family: Bacterial small subunit ribosomal RNA
Source: RNAcentral